This is a long non-coding RNA of Dermochelys coriacea (leatherback sea turtle), 1686 nucleotides long. RefSeq lists it as uncharacterized. NCBI's taxonomy places the organism in Eukaryota, Metazoa, Chordata, Testudines, Dermochelyidae. The transcript has 3 exons. The record is from RefSeq and is a predicted model, not a curated record.
AUCAGAGAGUGGAAAGUACCUGGGAGGUGCUCUACUGAGGGCUAAAAGAGGGAUGCAAAGUCAAGCCUGAGGAGUGUAGAAUGGGGGUUAUAUUAAUAUGCUUAUUCUGGGAUUUACUGAGGGAUGUGAGAGGAGAUCCCUGUGAAUCCAAGCCCCUGCAGGAAGGGUAAGCUUGAAGAAGCUGUGGGAGAGCCCUGCUUGUAGGUUUGAUAGGAAGAAGUUUAGGAAGGUAGCAUCAAGGUGUUGGAAGGAUUGAACCUUGACUGUCUGUCUUGGGGUCCCUGACUGGAAUCCAGUGUUGAAGGUGAACCUGGGCUCUUCUGUCUGCCAUGGGUGAGGUGGCAUAAGCCCUUGAGAAGGGAAGGGGUGCAACUAAAUGCUGACCUGGCUGAGUUAUAAGAAGAGGGACCAUGGCAGGGCUGGAGCGGCUGUUGGGUGCUACAUGGAGAAGGAACCUGCUCUGCUGUACCCAGCCAAGAGGGAGUGUACCAGCAGAGGGAGACAUCUUUGACAUUCUCUAGAGGUCAAGAGCUAUGACGAAGACUCUCAAAAGCCUGGGAGAGACAGUGCACAGAAAACACAAAGCAAUAGUGUUCUCAACGCAGCCACCAAAGCACCACCCCUGAGACCUGCUCGGGCUCAGCCUGCUUUCAGGCUCUUUUGUUGAACCUGUGCACAUCAGCUCAAGCCUUCAGCAGUAUGGACCUCUUUCCUCUCCACUCAAGGAACAGCAAAAUGGCUGCUCACACUACCAGUGGCAGGCUGUACUGAGGUAUGGCGGAUAGGUAACCACUGGCCUGAUUCAUUAUUUUAUCUUGAAGAUAAAAAAAACCCCUCUAUUUCCUCACUUUCUCCUCCUGUGGACCUCCUCCAUACUCAUUAGUUAUCUCUGUUCCCUGCAUUGUGAACUGUCCACUUACAUCUUCAAAUAAGGUGACUUAAAAUGGAUGCUGUAGAACAUGGUCUACCCAGUGCAACAUAGUGAUAACCUGAUUGCCUUGGCUUACAAAGUCUGCUGAGGCUGACAGCUAUAGUCCUGUGUACUGAUCUCAUCUCACUUCAGUGCCCUUGCCUGCCUCUGACAAAGAUAUGAGAGCUGCGGGGUGUCUCUACCACAGAGCCAGGCAAGGGUGUAGUCCUGUGCUAUGUUCUUUGUCUUCCAUUUUACAAAGAGUUUGAUCCAAAACCAGAGUACCGCAGUGUAAACGCUUCCAGGGCAAGCUCUCAGCUGAACUCUGAGCAUGCACUGUUUUGUGCUGACACGCAGCCUUAGAUCUCUGGGAGAAUCAUAUUGAUAAAAUUGUAUACUUCUCUUUGAAUUUCAAAAUCAAAAGAGAAACUGAAAUCACCCCCUGCCAUGCUCUGACUGCCCGCCACCAUCAUAUUUGGCCAAGAAACUAUUUGCUGUAGAAAACCAUCAACCAAGAAAUAAUCUCCUGUCUACACCCGUUUAGAAAGCACUUGCUGUAGGGUAAAUAAACUCCCAAAGCAGAGGACUCGGUCUACCAGAGAGGUAGAAAUUCUAUUAAGUGAUGGGGAAAUCAGAAAUGUAAUCCAAUUCUCACCUUCUUCCUUUGCUAACUAUUUUAAAAUAAAUGUAAUACUGUAUGUAAUAUUACUGGCUGAACACAAAGGGAGGAAAAAUACAGUUCUGUAAAAAUACCAUGAAAAUUCACCACCCCAAAU